GUCAACAUGUGCUCUAAAUCUCUUUCAGUUCUGAAAUCGAAGGAGUUAUGGAUCAUAAUGGAGGAGCUUCAGAGGCCAUGUCCUCGCUUCAUGGUUAAGGACAGUAUACCGCCAAGACAAUGAGCACACAGGUGCUGAUGUCCACUCCCCCUUUCAGAAACUCCAGGACUUUGUCGAGGUUCCCUGCCCUGGCAGCACGCAGAAAGCUGGUGUUGCUGUCCGACUGCAAGGACAGAAGCAGAAGACAACGGGUUCCAGGAGACCCCCUACCCUGACCGGGUGUAGCCCAGGGUGGGGUGCUCAGCAGCUGAACACCACCAGGAAUGUCAUAGAACCAUUUUACUUCUUGAGGUUGAUGAAAUACGAGAAUCUUACAAAGUAGCAUAUUAAAGUAACAGUGAUG
Molecule: long non-coding RNA, 403 nt
Filed under: Gadus morhua (Atlantic cod)
Lineage: Eukaryota; Metazoa; Chordata; Actinopteri; Gadiformes; Gadidae
Description: lncRNA (ENSGMOG00000025463.1)
Source: RNAcentral